Gopherus evgoodei (Goodes thornscrub tortoise) is the source of this 3643-nucleotide long non-coding RNA. RefSeq lists it as uncharacterized. Lineage: Eukaryota; Metazoa; Chordata; Testudines; Testudinidae. The transcript has 4 exons. The record is from RefSeq and is a predicted model, not a curated record.
UGAUAAAUCGAUCCCUGAUAGAUCGAUCGCUACCUGCCGAUCCGGCAGGUAGUCUGGAUGUACCCCUAUAUGUUUGACACAGAUCUCUUCAGUGGAAUCCAGAAUUGACAAUGCAAUUCUGGACACUUUGGUUUAUCUGAUAGUUGACUGCAUCUGAGUAGGACAAUUUUUAAAGUGUGCUACUUAGCAUAUUUAAAAACUUUGCUAAAUAAAAGAAUAUUACCAAAAAUGUAUAGAUAGCACAAUAGUAUACAAAUAUAAUUUCAUUUAGAUAAUGCUAUCAGGCAGAGCCUGUUGGCAGCAAUGUUCUACGGGACAUCCUUAGCAUACUUUAUGACUCGCAUCAUCCUGAACUAGGAUGUCUGGAGCUGUUAUGAAUUAGUAUGAAAUCUGCUGUUUAAUAAAUGCUUUAUACUGCUUGUUUAGCAAUAUUCAGCAUCAGACUGUAAAGUUUCUCAUUAUGUGAGUCACCUGUAAGAUCACAUUCCUCCAGAUGUCUUGAAUGAACAUUUCUGUUUAGAAAACACCUGCAACUUGUUAAAGCUGCUGCACCCAUUCAUCUGAAAUGUAACCUCAGAACAGUUCCUACCCCUGUGCUUUCUUAGCCAUGCAAUGUUUUUAAUUUUCUUCCUGUUUGGUUUUUUUAAUUAGGUUGUGUCCCUACAGCCCAAAGCAUGUAAAUUAAUUUAAAUUAAUUGGAGUUAAGAAUCUGGCUUUAAAUUCUAUCUAAACAGAGUUCUUAUUAAAUCUGUUUCCAACUGCUUGACCAGCCAGUGUAGACAAACUGGUAGAAAUACAGGCUGGCCACAUUAUGUCCAAUAUUGUCCAGCCAAGUGGUGUCAGAGAAGCGUUCUGUUGGCUCCCUUCUUAUGCACUGUUUCCAAACUCUGUUACUAGCCCCUUUGAGAGAAGCCCAUGCUGCAAAGAAAUAUACAGAACAACUUGGUGUCCAGUGGUACAACUGCAAGGACAGAGUUGUGCAUAAUACAAACUUGAGGGGAGGUUUUUUCUUCAAGUGAUGCAUAAUUAACCUAUCAAAUGCCUGAAGUACUGUAUUAAAGCUUCAUCCUCCUUGUGCCCACUGGAUGGGCAUUCUUGCAAAUCCUGCCUUUCCUUGUGUUGCCUCUGAUGUGGGACUUGACAGAUGUCUAUUCACUGUGGACACUUCCUGGGCUUUUCAUUGGCAGCCUCCAUUUUACUGAGAGAAGGAGAAAUAUCACUGAAAAUCAUUAGACAAGUACCUGUCAAGUAUAACCUAGGAAUAUUUGGCCCCCAGUGCAGUGGGGUGGACUAGAUGACCUCUCGAGGUCUCUUUCAGACCGGCAUUUCUAUCAUGAAUUAGGAAAUACAUAUGUGCUGCUGGAUUACUUAAUCAACUAAAUAUUGACCUCUUUUGGUGGGACGGGGAAGGCUUCUUCUACAUAUGAUGAAGUCUCCCGUUGAGUUUGUGGGUCCUGUGAUGAGACCAAAGACUGAUUUUGGACCCUGCAGCCUCCUCCACAAGUGCCACAUGUAAAGACAAUUGUAAAUGAAUUAGUGCUGUUUUUAGCUUGUUAUAUCUCGCACGUCUCUCCUUGACUGCAGAAAUCCACAAGCUCUCAAAAUCUUCCAGUCUGAGGUGUGGCAGGGCUGCUGCUGUCAGAUCUUGUCAUGGGGGAAGAGCUCCCAGGUGCUGUGGUCACACUGUAAGAUUGGAGAUGGGACUAUGCCAAAAAAAAAUAAGACUUGAGAGAAAGGAGAUGGUGCCUUGUGCAACAGUAACUUCUUAUAUCUACAGUGACUUCCAUCUGGAGGCUCUCAACUCCUUUACGCCUGAGACAUUGAUGAAGAGCUGAGGCCCAGACUGAUGAAGUGACUUGCCCAACAUCACAUAAUGAGCACCUGAUGGACAAGAUUUCUUCCCAAUCAACACAGACCCUAUGCAUCUGUCCAUCAGUUGAAGAAUAUAAUUCCAUCUCUGCACCAGUACCCACUAGUGGAUCGGAAGAAUCUGUGGACUACUGAUACAGUUGGAGCUGUGCUAACAAUACUUUUGGCUUUGAACUUCCAGAUGCUACUUUUGUGUGGAGUGAACAGGCAGCCUUCAUUCGACUUACUUGAUUAAACAUAAUUUACAUUUCUCUGGAAUUUUUAACCAGAAAUAUCAGGUAUGUUCCAUUUCCUGCCUGGUUAGCCUCCCUAUACUUCCUUUUUUGCACUAGCUUUUUGAAAGCCACAAGAUUUUUUUCUUGAGUGUUCAGUUGCCCCCUAAUGGGCUUCAGGAAAAUAACAUCCUCAUAGCCACUGUGACCAACCUGCACUAGGACAUGCAAGAGCAAGGAAAAAAAUCUUACAGGCAUGUUCUAAGGAAAGACUGGAGUAACUCCACUAACUUCAGCAGAGUUACUCUGCAUUCACACUGGGGUCAUCAAGAUCAGAAUCUUGGCCUAUCUUCUAGGAGAGGGAACAAAGAUACUUGCCCUCAUCUGUGGCUAUGGCAGGGCUGCUUUCUUCUAAGUGUCUGCCCGGAAAGAAAGCUGAGGGCAGUCAAACCUUUCUCUAAUCCCCAAAGUGAAACAGCAUCUCUAUUCUCUGGAAACAUGCUUGUGGAAUUCUGGUCCUUAAUAGCAAUUUUUACUUUUUUUAGGGAGUAUGGUAUCAUGCUGUGCCUUGUGCUGCUCCUUUCUGAAGUGCAUAUAGAUAGUGUGUGGGGUAAAAGCCAUCAGACAUCUGUUUAAAAACAAUUUCUCCCAUAGACUCCCUGUAUCCCAAAUGCAGCUCCCAACAUCUCUUACCAAUCUAUUGGUAUUGUUAAACUAUUUAAACAAUAUUCUUCAUACUGGCCCUGCCCCACUCAAUUUCCAGUAGAGUUGGGAUUUGAUAUUUUUAAUACAAAAAUGUCCUUUAACAUGUAAGCUCCUGUCCCCUAUUGUUUGUUGCUACUUCUUGCAGCAUAGUUCCUGAACCUGUUCUAACAGGGAGGGAUGUUGUGGGGGUGGGGGGAAAGCUCUGAUCUGUAAUACUGCCCUUCCUUUCCAUAAAUGAGCAUGAAUUAUGAUCUACAGCAAAACCGAUUAUUACCCCCACCUUUGUACCAUGGUACAGGACUAAGUCCAGGAUCAAAUGGUAGAGCAAGAUGAGAAAUGAUGCCAACCCCAUUAAUUCCUGUUCAUAAUGUAUAACUUUCUUGAAAGUUCACUUUCAAGAACAUCUGUUUAAGACCAACUGCUGUGAAACAAUCUUCCCAUCAAGGUUUUCAUACAGUGACCUUUGUGUAUGGAUGGUGGGCAGAUCAGUGUGUAACUAAUGCAAAAAUACCCCCCUCUGCUCUCUAACUUGGUCUUAAUUACUAACCUCAAGGGAGGGGCUAACAGCUUUAGUCCAGAUGCUGCAUUCCUUUUCCAAGGGUGGUUGAAGUGUGUGUAGUUUCAAGAACUGCUGUUUUCACUAAUAUCCUCAAAUGAAUGAAAUAAGGUCUGAUAGUAACUUCUUCCCAAAAGUAAAUCUGUCAAGCAAUGCUUCAUUGAGGUUGAGAAGGCAGUUAACUGUUCUGUCUUAGUGGUGAAAAAGCAUAUGGGCAAUGCUCUUGAAAGUGUGCUAUUAAAAAAAAAAAAAAAAAACCUACACAGACUACACGUGCUUUAACUCACCUUCCUUUCAUCCU